This is a long non-coding RNA of Gallus gallus (chicken), 2785 nucleotides long. RefSeq lists it as uncharacterized. The transcript is spliced from 2 exons. NCBI's taxonomy places the organism in Eukaryota, Metazoa, Chordata, Aves, Galliformes, Phasianidae. The record is from RefSeq and is a predicted model, not a curated record.
AGGGAUGUGGUUAGCGGGCAUGGUGGGGGUGGCUUGGUGGUUGAACUAGAUGAUCUUAGUGGUCUUUCCAGCCUCAAUGAUUCUAUGAUUCAUUAACUCGGAUGGGAACAGACCCAGUGAUGUCAGUGGGGCUUUGUGCUGUGGAGCAGGAUGUUUGCCAGCCCUCAGCCUCUAGUAACAGUGCCCCACUGGGCUGGGAUGGCUGGGCAGAGGGAUGGGUGUUGGUGGCAGCUUGGUUUGUGCCUCCUUACUGCAGCCUCUGGUAGUUCACUGCCGAGUAACAGUAUCUGUGUGAGGCGUUCUUGCUUGGUUUGCUUUAUUUGCUGUUGUAUAUGUAAUCACUCCAAUCUCCUUCCCUCCAAAUUUCUUACAGCUGAGGAAAAUGAGCUUGUCUGUCCAUAAAGCAUCUUGCGGCAGGUUAAUGCGGUUGUAUAUCUGGAUAACCCCGUCUACCUUUGCCAGUGCAAUCAGUGUGGGUGUGAAUUACAGGCAGGGGUGAGCACAACCGGAGUAAGGCUGGGAUUGAUGAGUAGUGUGCAGCUGUACGUGGAGCAGGCAGGGAUGGAACAUCUGCAGGAGCCUUUUGUUCUUCGUUCUGUAAUGCCAUCACUGGAACUGCUGAAUUAAGCUGUACUUCCAUGAUGAGUGGGGAUGGCUGGGGCGGCAUAGGUGAGUGCCACGUGUGCUGUGCUGGGUGCUACCUGCAGAGCUGCUCUGUGCUGGCGUGAGCAGCCUCGCUGAGCCUUGAGGUCUGCAGGACAACCCCUUCAUUUCUCCAGCUUAGGCAUGCCAAGAGUGGAUGAGACCUGGGAUCACCUGGAAAUCCUGGGAUUUCUCUCCAGGCCACGCUUUGGUGGUGGUAUUUCUUUUAAUCCAAUUCGGUUUUAAAUGUGGCCAUGAAGAAUUAUAACUGAUCGCAUUAAAUUACACUUGGAAUCUCCUGGCUGCUUGAUGAAGAAAUGAUAUGAGCGCAGCGUGGGCCUGACUUUACGUCUGUAUUAACAAUGUUACAGGCACAGGGCCUCAGUCUGAUACAUUCCUAAUGAGAUUUUGAAGUUCACACUAUAAAAUGUUCUGUCAAUUAAGUCAGAAAUUCAGAGCAACAUAUUUACUUCAGCUAACAGUAUGUCCUUUCAGCGCAGGGAUCUCAAUGAUUACAGCAGUAUUUUCUAGUUCCAGCCUCAUCAAAGUCCAAUAAAAUAUUCUCAUUGUAAUACGCGCUUGUCGGUAACGUGCAAGUUUUCUGACUGCAAAGAACAGCUCUGCAAAAACAUAUUCAGUGAGGAGGACGCAGGGUAGCAGAUAGCUCUAAUACAAAGGCCUGUCUUUCUGCAGUGCCCUGUAGCUGAAAUGAAACCAGGCAGGAGCCCUGUUUUACUAGCAGCAGGUUUCCUUGAUGCACGCCUGUGCCUCCCGACGCCGCUGACUCCCAGGAAGAAGGCCCUCCGAUGAGCUGAGGAAGGGCUGAUUGCAGUUGUCACCAAUUAACAGGAGGCAGGCAUGCAGGUGAAAGCAAAUCCUGCUUUGCUUUACUGGGUAACAAUAGUCGUGUAAGUGCAAAGCCAGCCACAGCUCCUACAUCAGCUACACCCAUGGAAGCAGCUCCUGCUUUACUUGAGGGUGCACAUUGCGCUGCUUGCUGCUUGAUCCCAGCAAGUCCCAGAUCCUUAAAGUCUUUGGGAAGCAAUGAACUAGCAGCAGUUGAGAGGACUCAGCCUUUUAGCACGUGGAUCCCCCCCUCUCUCUCACGAUCAGUGUGGCUGGUGAGUGGCUCAGCUGUGGAAAGCGCUGGCUCUUCUCCAGGCCCCUUCCCUCCCAGCCCAGUCUGGGCCUUGUCCUGAGCAUGCCAACAGUGCUGGCAGUUUUCUCAGGUUCAUGAUCAGUGCCUGAAGUAAGAAGAAAUGUAUAAGUACUGGCUACAGAUUUUGGACCAGUUCAAAAGAAUUGUGUUUGGUGGGGUUUCCAUACAUCUGGGGCUCUGUGAAAAAGGGUAGUUAUGUGGUAGUGAAGUCUUUGUGUUGAAAUCACAGGAAACGGUGCUUUCUGCUUAGGCGUGAUUCAGAUGCAGUUGUGGCACCGUUUUUAAGAAAUCAUUUGGCUUAGUAGUAUUGCCCACAAAUACAUUUUUACGUAGUUACUUUGGAGAUCUGAAGUACUUGGCUGUUAGCGAGCACUUGUGGAGGAGCUCUUGUUACAGAUAAGCCUGGCUUUCUCUGUGGGCUGUCGCACCUGCCUGAGGUAUUCAUGCAGCUCGGCUCUUCCCAUACCAUUGCCAGAGUGUGAGUGUAAGCGCUCCAAGAAAGUCUGCAGGUAAGCAUAUGGACUGUGGGCUAGAUGAGUGGACAGUGAGGUGGAUGGAGAACUGGCUGACUGACAGAGCUCAGAAGGUUGUGAUCAGCAGCACAAAGUCUGGUUGGAGGGCUGUAGCUAGUGGUGUUCCCCCAGUUCUCAGCAAGUUUGUGAUGCCACAAAGCUGGAAAGAAUGGCUGACGCACCACAAGACAUUGCUACCAUUCAGUGAUACCUGGACAGGCUGGACAACUGCACAGAGAGGAGUCUGAUGAGGUUCAACAGUGGCAAGUGGUGGAUUCUACACCUGAAGAUAAAUAACUGCAUGCAUCAGUACAGAAUUGCAAGCCCAGGCUAUGAGCUGGGAUUUAUACAGUUGUUUCUGGAAUUGGUUCUGAAAGCACGCUACAAUAAAAACUCGAUUGCAGGACUGCAGCUCCUUGUCCUGAAGGAAAUGAAGGCGCUCUCCAUUUCGGAAAAGGUGGCUAACCCGAAG